AAAGGGUGCGUAGGUGGUUGAAUAAGUCUGGUUUGAAAGUCAGUCGCUUAACGAUUGAGGGUGGCUGGAUACUGUUCAACUUGAAUAAUCUGGAGGUAGGCGGAACGGGUUGUGUAGCGGUGAAAUGCAUAGAUAUGACCCAGAACACCGAUUGCGAAGGCAGCCUACUACGGAUUGAUUGACACUGAGGCACGAGAGCAUGGGGAGCAAACAGGAUUAGAUACCCGUGU
RNAcentral lists this ribosomal RNA (230 nucleotides) under uncultured bacterium. Its description in RNAcentral is "partial 16S ribosomal RNA". It matches the Rfam family "Bacterial small subunit ribosomal RNA", at positions 562 to 791 of the family's 1533-position model. The record is from RNAcentral.